UCUAAUAUGGCAGAUUAGUGCAUUGGAA
This 28-nucleotide transfer RNA is filed under the name Alaus myops (blind click beetle). RNAcentral's name for it is "partial tRNA-Leu". The record is from RNAcentral. Lineage: Eukaryota; Metazoa; Arthropoda; Insecta; Coleoptera; Elateridae.